GAGGGGCAGCAUGAACUUAGCUUGCUAAGUUUGAUGGCGACCGGCGCACGGGUGAGUAACACGUAUCCAACCUGCCGAUGACUCGGGGAUAGCCUUUCGAAAGAAAGAUUAAUACCCGAUGGCAUAGUUCUUCCGCAUGGUGGAACUAUUAAAGAAUUUCGGUCAUCGAUGGGGAUGCGUUCCAUUAGGUUGUUGGCGGGGUAACGGCCCACCAAGCCUUCGAUGGAUAGGGGUUCUGAGAGGAAGGUCCCCCACAUUGGAACUGAGACACGGUCCAAACUCCUACGGGAGGCAGCAGUGAGGAAUAUUGGUCAAUGGACGCAAGUCUGAACCAGCCAAGUAGCGUGAAGGAUGAAGGCUCUAUGGGUCGUAAACUUCUUUUAUAUGGGAAUAAAGUUUUCCACGUGUGGAAUUUUGUAUGUACCAUAUGAAUAAGGAUCGGCUAACUCCGUGCCAGCAGCCGCGGUAAUACGGAGGAUCCGAGCGUUAUCCGGAUUUAUUGGGUUUAAAGGGAGCGUAGGUGGAUUGUUAAGUCAGUUGUGAAAGUUUGCGGCUCAACCGUAAAAUUGCAGUUGAAACUGGGAGUCUUGAGUACAGUAGAGGUGGGCGGAAUUCGUGGUGUAGCGGUGAAAUGCUUAGAUAUUAGGAGGAACACCAGUGGCGAAGG
This 667-nucleotide ribosomal RNA is filed under the name uncultured Bacteroidales bacterium. Its description in RNAcentral is "bacterial SSU rRNA". It matches the Rfam family "Bacterial small subunit ribosomal RNA", at positions 64 to 721 of the family's 1533-position model. The record is from RNAcentral. Lineage: Bacteria; Pseudomonadati; Bacteroidota; Bacteroidia; Bacteroidales.